UACAGAGGGUGCGAGCGUUGUCCGGAAUUACUGGGCGUAAAGGGCGCGUAGGCGGCUUGGUAAGUCGGGGGUGAAAGUCAGCGGCUCAACCGCUGGACUGCCUUCGAGACUGCCUGGCUUGAGCAUGGUAGAGGCUGGCGGAAUUCCCGGUGUAGCGGUGGAAUGCGUAGAGAUCGGGAAGAACAUCGGUGGCGAAGGUGGCCAGCUGGGCCAUUGCUGACGCUGAUGCGCGACAGCGUGGGGAGCAAACAGG
RNAcentral lists this ribosomal RNA (253 nucleotides) under uncultured bacterium. RNAcentral describes it as "partial 16S ribosomal RNA". It matches the Rfam family "Bacterial small subunit ribosomal RNA", at positions 524 to 776 of the family's 1533-position model. The record is from RNAcentral.